GUGGGGAAUUUUGGACAAUGGGGGCAACCCUGAUCCAGCCAUCCCGCGUGUGCGAUGAAGGCCUUCGGGUUGUAAAGCACUUUUGGCAGGGAAGAAAAGUUUCGGGCUAAUACCCUGGAGCGAUGACGGUACCUGCAGAAUAAGCACCGGCUAACUACGUGCCAGCAGCCGCGGUAAUACGUAGGGUGCAAGCGUUAAUCGGAAUUACUGGGCGUAAAGCGUGCGCAGGCGGUUCGGAAAGAAAGAUGUGAAAUCCCAGGGCUUAACCUUGGAACUGCAUUUUUAACUGUCGAACUCGAGUAUGUCAGAGGGGGGUAGAAUUCCACGUGUAGCAGUGAAAUGCGUAGAGAUGUGGAGGAAUACCGAUGGCGAAGGCAGCCCCCUGGGAUAAUACUGACGCUCAUGCACGAAAGCGUGGGGAGCAAACAGGAUUAGAAACCCUUGUAGUCC
Molecule: ribosomal RNA, 450 nt
Filed under: uncultured bacterium
Lineage: Bacteria
Description: partial 16S ribosomal RNA
Rfam family: Bacterial small subunit ribosomal RNA
Source: RNAcentral